RNAcentral lists this ribosomal RNA (301 nucleotides) under uncultured bacterium. Its description in RNAcentral is "partial 16S ribosomal RNA". It matches the Rfam family "Bacterial small subunit ribosomal RNA", at positions 509 to 807 of the family's 1533-position model. The record is from RNAcentral.
CAGCAGCCACGGGAAUACGAAGGGUGCAAGCGUUAAUCGGAAUUACUGGGCGUAAAACGUGCGUAGGCGGUGAGUUAAGUCUGCUGUGAAAUCCCCGGGCUCAACCUGGGAAUGGCAGUGGAUACUGGCUCGCUAGAGUGUGUCAGAGGAUGGUGGAAUUCCCGGUGUAGCGGUGAAAUGCGUAGAGAUCGGGAGGAACAUCAGUGGUGAAGGCGGCCAUCUGGGACAACACUGACGCUGAGGCACGAAAGCGUGGGGAGCAAACAGGAUUAGAUACCCCCGUAGUCCCUGUCUCUUAUAC